GUUUAGCCCUGAUUGUAGCAAUUGUUUGAGCUCUUUUUGAAGAAUGAAAAAAAGCGAGUGCGAAAAGCAGGAAAUAGC
This 78-nucleotide unclassified non-coding RNA is filed under the name Polaribacter dokdonensis DSW-5. RNAcentral describes it as "Flavo-1 RNA". The record is from RNAcentral. Lineage: Bacteria; Pseudomonadati; Bacteroidota; Flavobacteriia; Flavobacteriales; Flavobacteriaceae.